CUCAAUCUAAAUAUUUCACACCAUAUUAUCAUUACAACAUCAUAAUUUACCAAUAUACUCAAAAAUCAUCAACCCAUCAUAAUUCAUCAUAAAUCAUCAUUCAACAACUCAAAUCCUCAAAUCAUUAUACAUCAUCAUCAUCAUACAACAAUCCCAACAACCAAUUUAAUCCAAUCCUAUCCUAUGGGUCACUAGUCUAAGUGUCCAUGAACAUUACAUAUUACACAAAGGAAACCGAAACCAUACCUUGGCCAAUUCCCAAUAUGCUCCAACACCAAACUUGAUUCAAAUCAAGCUUCCACUAAGCUCUAAACUAUCAAGCCAAACCAAAAGCCACUACUAACUCCAAAAACAUGCUUCAUACAUACAACAUAACCGUACAUCAACAACUAAAGCUCAUACUAUACCAAACUACAAGGAUAAAGAGGUUCCUUACCUUAUUUAACGAGAUUAGGGGUAAAAUCCAACAAUUACUCGCUACUAGAGAUCACCUAAACAAGCAAAACCACAAAAUCUACUCAAAACUCAUAACCAAAAUCAUGCAGAAACUUAGGGCAGAGAACUGGGGAUUGAGCUUCGAGUUCUUACCAGAAAAACUUAGAUAGAAAGGAAUAGCUUGUCGAGAGCUUCACGUGGCCACAAACGGCUCAUCAAUCGGAGGUUCGUAGCUCAAGUUACAAGCAAAUGAAGGUGAGGGUGAAUAAUAAAACCC
Molecule: long non-coding RNA, 712 nt
Filed under: Arachis ipaensis
Lineage: Eukaryota; Viridiplantae; Streptophyta; Magnoliopsida; Fabales; Fabaceae
Description: long non-coding RNA (AIPA_LNC002148)
Source: RNAcentral